UUAUCGAAUUAUAAGCGAGGGUUGUUGCUGGCCUCGAAAGAGGCAUGUGCACACCCGAGCUCUUAAAUCCACAACACACCUGUGAACCCACCGUAGGCCUUCGGGCUUAUGUAUCAUAUACUCUGAAUGUGUCAUAGAAUGUUCAUGUUGCCUUAAAACGCAAUCAAAUACAACUUUCAACAACGGAUCUCUUGGCUCUCGCAUCGAUGAAGAACGCAGCGAAAUGCGAUAAGUAAUGUGAAUUGCAGAUUUUCAGUGAAUCAUCGAAUCUUUGAACGCACCUUGCGCUCCUUGGUAUUCCGAGGAGCAUGCCUGUUUGAGUGUCAUUAAAUUCUCAACCCCACCGAUUUGCUUCGGGGGGAUUGGACUUGGAGCGUGCUGGCGAAGGUCGGCUCCUCUUUAAAUGCAUCAGUGGAGAGAAACUUGCCCCAGUGUGAUAAUCCUGUUGCGCUGUGGUGGGUGAAAGUCUGCUUCCAACCGUCCCUCCGGGGACAUAUGUCAUCUUAUUUUGACCUCAAAUCAGUAGGACUACCCGCUGAACUUAAGCAUAUCAU
This 554-nucleotide ribosomal RNA is filed under the name uncultured Amphinema. RNAcentral describes it as "eukaryotic LSU rRNA". The stretch from base 172 to 326 matches the Rfam family "5.8S ribosomal RNA". Lineage: Eukaryota; Fungi; Basidiomycota; Agaricomycetes; Atheliales; Atheliaceae. The record is from RNAcentral.